RNAcentral lists this ribosomal RNA (253 nucleotides) under uncultured bacterium. RNAcentral describes it as "partial 16S ribosomal RNA". It matches the Rfam family "Bacterial small subunit ribosomal RNA", at positions 524 to 776 of the family's 1533-position model. The record is from RNAcentral.
UACGUAGGGCGCGAGCGUUGUCCGGAAUUACUGGGCGUAAAGCGUGCGUAGGUGGUUCGUUAAGUCCGAUGUGAAAGCCCUGGGCUCAACCUGGGAAUGGCAUUGGAUACUGGCGGGCUAGAGUGCGGUAGAGGGCAGUGGAAUUCCCGGUGUAGCAGUGAAAUGCGUAGAGAUCGGGAGGAACAUCUGUGGCGAAGGCGACUGCCUGGACCAGCACUGACACUGAGGCACGAAAGCGUGGGGAGCAAACAGG